Molecule: ribosomal RNA, 640 nt
Filed under: Ruegeria sp.
Lineage: Bacteria; Pseudomonadati; Pseudomonadota; Alphaproteobacteria; Rhodobacterales; Roseobacteraceae
Description: bacterial SSU rRNA
Rfam family: Bacterial small subunit ribosomal RNA
Source: RNAcentral
CCCUUCGGGGUGAGCGGCGGACGGGUUAGUAACGCGUGGGAAUAUACCCUUUGGUACGGAAUAGCCUCUGGAAACGGAGAGUAAUACCGUAUGUGCCCUUCGGGGGAAAGAUUUAUCGCCAAAGGAUUAGCCCGCGUUAGAUUAGGUAGUUGGUGGGGUAAUGGCCUACCAAGCCUACGAUCUAUAGCUGGUUUUAGAGGAUGAUCAGCAACACUGGGACUGAGACACGGCCCAGACUCCUACGGGAGGCAGCAGUGGGGAAUCUUGGACAAUGGGGGCAACCCUGAUCCAGCCAUGCCGCGUGAGUGAUGAAGGCCUUAGGGUCGUAAAGCUCUUUCGCCUGUGAAGAUAAUGACGGUAGCAGGUAAAGAAACCCCGGCUAACUCCGUGCCAGCAGCCGCGGUAAUACGGAGGGGGUUAGCGUUGUUCGGAAUUACUGGGCGUAAAGCGCACGUAGGCGGAUCGGAAAGUUGGGGGUGAAAUCCCGGGGCUCAACCCCGGAACUGCCUCCAAAACUAUCGGUCUAGAGUUCGAGAGAGGUGAGUGGAAUUCCGAGUGUAGAGGUGAAAUUCGUAGAUAUUCGGAGGAACACCAGUGGCGAAGGCGGCUCACUGGCUCGAUACUGACGCUGAGGUGCGAA